Molecule: ribosomal RNA, 256 nt
Filed under: uncultured bacterium
Lineage: Bacteria
Description: partial 16S ribosomal RNA
Rfam family: Bacterial small subunit ribosomal RNA
Source: RNAcentral
UACGGAGGGUGCGAGCGUUGUCCGGAAUCAUUGGGCGUAAAGGGCGCGUAGGUGGCCCGGUCAGUCUUUGGUGAAAGCGCGGGGCUCAACCCUGCGUCGGCCAGGGAUACUGCCGCGGCUCGAGCACUGUAGAGGCAGGCGUAAUUCCGGGUGUAGCGGUGGAAUGCGUAGAGAUCCGGAAGAACACCGGUGGCGAAGGCGGCCUGCUGGGCAGUUUAGCUGACACUGAGGCGCGACAGCGUGGGGAGCAAACAGG